UUGACGGGGCCCGCACAAGCGGUGGAGCAUGUGGUUUAAUUCGAUGCAACGCGAAGAACCUUACCUGGUCUUGACAUAGUAAGAACUUUCCAGAGAUGGAUUGGUGCCUUCGGGAACUUACAUACAGGUGCUGCAUGGCUGUCGUCAGCUCGUGUCGUGAGAUGUUGGGUUAAGUCCCGCAACGAGCGCAACCCUUUUCCUAUUGCCAGCGGGUUAAGCCGGGAACUUUAAGGAUACUGCCAGUGACAAACUGGAGGAAGGCGGGGACGACGUCAAGUCAUCAUGGCCCUUACGACCAGGGCUACACACGUGCUACAAUGGUCGGUACAACGAGUUGCGAGUCGGUGACGGCGAGCUAAUCUCUUAAAGCCAAUCUCAGUUCGGAUUGUAGGCUGCAACUCGCCUACAUGAAGUCGGAAUCGCUAGUAAUCGCGGAUCAGCACGCCGCGGUGAAUACGUUCCCGGGCCUU
This 470-nucleotide ribosomal RNA is filed under the name uncultured Acinetobacter sp. RNAcentral describes it as "bacterial SSU rRNA". It matches the Rfam family "Bacterial small subunit ribosomal RNA", at positions 910 to 1382 of the family's 1533-position model. Lineage: Bacteria; Pseudomonadati; Pseudomonadota; Gammaproteobacteria; Moraxellales; Moraxellaceae. The record is from RNAcentral.